GGAGGCAACUCUGACGCAGCCACGCCGCGUGCUGGAAGACGGCCCUAUGGGUUGUAAACGCUUUUGGUCGGGAAGAACCCCGGAGUUCGACUCCGGCUGACGGUACCGAUUGAAUAAGCACCGGCUAACUCCGUGCCAGCAGCCGCGGUAAUACGGAGGGUGCAAGCGUUGUCCGGAAUUAUUGGGUGUAAAGGGUGUGCAGGCGGAAGUCUAAGUCGGAGGUGAAAUCUUGCCGCUUAACGGUAAAAGGGCCUUCGAUACUGGAUUUCUUGAGUUCGGAAGAGGUUGGUGGAAUUCGUGGUGUAGCGGUGAAAUGCAUAGAUAUCACAAGAACACCGGUGGCGAAGGCGGCCAACUGGUCCGACACUGACGCUGAGACACGAAAGCGUGGGGAGCGAACAGGAUUAGAUACCCUGGUAGUCCACGCUGUAAACGAUGCAUGCUAGUUGUUGCCUCUUCGGGGGCAGUGACGCAGUUAACGCAGUAAGCAUGCCACCUGGGGAGUACGUUCGCAAGAAUGAAACUCAAAGGAAUUGACGGGG
Molecule: ribosomal RNA, 542 nt
Filed under: uncultured Fodinibius sp.
Lineage: Bacteria; Pseudomonadati; Balneolota; Balneolia; Balneolales; Balneolaceae
Description: bacterial SSU rRNA
Rfam family: Bacterial small subunit ribosomal RNA
Source: RNAcentral